CCAAAAAUGGCGGUCUCAUAGUAUAAAACAGCGUCCGUUGGUUACGGCAAUUUUAUUUUACUUUCCCUUUUAUUUUCAACGUUUUACUGAUGGAGUCGAUAUCGAACUCGAUGACGGACGACGAUUUGAGUCUUCCUAUCGAUUUCAACUUAACGUAUGUCAGCUAAUUCAUACUCUUUUGACGUUGUUGGCAUUUGAGGCUUUUGAGCACGACAGCAGCUUGGCUGCUUGACAGGUUGCAUUUUUGUCAAAUGUGACAUGUUGACAUUUUAAAGGCUAAAGGUUAAGAAGCGCAGAGCACGGUUAAGCCAUAGCAACAAAUGACAACAAUUCUUUACAUUUUGUAGCACCCAAAUUCCCCGAGUCAUGGAAGGGACGUCCAUGAAUGAAAGCAUGGCCCCUGGUGAGUAUUUUUGCGUGUAUUUCAAUAUAUUGUUACGGGACGUCGAAAAACAGCGUCGUCUAUCUCUCAAACUACUGUAUAUAUUUUCAUGAUAAUUCUUAAUCUAUUUCCUUUACAAGUAUUAUUAUAAUUCUUCUCAAAAACUAGAAAAUUUCUGUAUUGCACAUUGUAUCUAUUACUGACCUAUUUAAUACACCAUACUUCGCAUGUGUAGAAUUCAAAUAUUCAAUUCAGUACGGUGUCACAGUGAUAUGUGUAUCCCCAUGCUCUGUGUAUCCCCAUAUUUAUAUCAUAUUUGUAUCCCCAGCAAAUAUGGUGGCCGUGUUUUGAGUAUCCUGUAUCCCUACCUACAGUACCACAGGAAAAUUUUAGAAAUAGUGGAAAAUUUCCACUGGCAACAAGAAGAGGAAAUAGGAAAUAAUCACUUCAUAUAUGAUAUUGAGUAAUUUGAAAAUUAGCUGUCACAAUUUUACAUUACUUUAUGCAUUACCAGGCUAAUAGGCAAUUUUUCAGCAGAGAUUGCUAUUUAAGGCAACAUGCAACAACUGGUUAAGAUUGAAAACAUCUGUGGAAGUGAAAAUUAUAUUGCCUUUUGAAAUGAAAAGCACCAAAACAAGGCUAUAGUCAGUCUUCUUUGCUGAAUUUAGCAGAAACUCUAAACUCAUCCAUUUGUUCACAGAGAAAAAUUGCACCUGAGGCCAUUCCAAAUGAGAUUUUAGUUUCCAGUCCAGACUAUCUUCAUGUAAGCAUGCACUGAGGACGAGUGGUCCAUUAUCAUAUGUUAUCAGAAUUUAUCGAGAAAUGCUAUAAUUUUGCCAUUAUUUGAACUCAGGAUAGGCCAAUGUAAAAAUUCUUGCAGUAUUCAUUACAAUAAACAUUUAUAUAAUAAUCAUCUGCUUUUAAGAACAUUGCAAGGAAUUAAGGAAUAGACAAAACAGAAACAUUUAACACCAUCCCAUAUUUCCAUCCACACUGCAGAGAUCAGAGUUUAAUUAAUAUCAAUAAUGGUUCUAAGAAGUCAUAAUUUAAAUAUUUUCUUGUACAAUCCCAAACAUCUAUUACAAAGCAAUUGAUAUUUUAAGAUAUCACUAAUGGGAAAGUCACAUGGCCUCUUUGUGGAGGCUUGGACAGUGGACAUAUAGGGAAAUAAAGUCUAAUUUGGCAUGGCCUAAAAUUGUAGCAAAAUUUGCAAGUGUAAACAGGUGUUACGACUUGCCAACUGCUUACGUUUUACUAUUGUUCAAACUGCUUGACCCAAAUUAAAACAAAUUAUGAAUUGGGAAUUUUUAACCCAUUAAUUAAGUUGCAUUGCAUCCCAAUGUGCCUUAGCUGCAUUAUUCUUUUGAUCUGUUUAACAACAGAUGAUAUUACUUAAUUGUCAUAUGGAGAGUGCUGCUGCCACUCAAUGGGUUAAAUAUCAGACUAUCUGCCAAUGCAUUCUGUUCCUUUAAAGGGAUAUGGCAAUAUAAAGUUUGUCUUAUUUGAAAUAACAUUUAAAAUGAUAUAUAAAGUAACUUCCUUUACAAUUAUUCCGUAUCUUGCUUCGUUUUCAAAAUAAAUCGACUUAUUUUGAUCAAAAGCAGCGUGCAUUCCGCCAUCUUGGAUAUGCAUUCGAUAUGCAUACGUCACAAGUAGGGUAAAAGGCGAAAUUUUUAUCUUGCAAACCACAUGUCAUUAAUAAAACUUGAUUUUCUGCAGUCUUUUUAGUACUCAAUUAACUCACAACAUUUUAAGAAACUUUUCGAAGAAAUUUAAUCCCACAUGAAGAAAUUUUAACAAGUUUACCGUGCUUUUGACGUUAUCAAAAACUCAGUUAAUUAGGUCAAAUAUAAUACCAAGAUGGCAGACUGCAUACUGUUUUUGGUCAAAAUAUUUCGAAAACCAAGCAAGUUACGAGAAAGUUGUAAAGGGUCUUCAUACAUAACUUUAAAAGUUCUUUCAAAUAAGACAAACUUAAUUUUUGUUGCCAUAUCCCUUUAAGCAAUGUGCCUUAGUUGCCAAGGGUGGGUUGACUACAAAAUUUUUGUAGUUUGCUAUAACUACAGCUACUUCAAAAAUGUGUAGUCAGCUACAACUACUGCUACUUUUGAACAAAGGUAGUUAGCUACUGACUACAGCUACUGCUUAAAGAAUGUAGCGAACUAUUUCGCUAAGCUAUAUUUUUUGGUUUUACUGUAUUUGGAACAUCUACUAACUCAGGCUGAAAUGUAACCUAUAACAAAUCGACUUACGAGUAGCAACAGUAAACACAAAGCAACAUUUCUGCAAGCACUACAGUGUUCAAGAGUGCAAAUUGACUAUUCAGUAUUGAUUUUAAAUUAAGCAAACUGUGUCUCAAUAUCAUGCUAUUCUAUCAAAUUGCUAACAAUUUUAAAAAGUAGCGAAUAGCGAUUUGCUGUUUGAAAAGUAGUCAACUACUUGGCUACUUUUAGACAAAAUGUAGUUCGCUAUAACUACAGCUACUGUUUUAAAAAAGUAGUAAAAAACUACUGGCUACUUGAAAAUUGUAGUUCGCUACAGUAGCGAACUACAACUACUUCGCUACUACCCACCCUUGUUAGUUGCAUAAUUUUUUUGGUCUGUUUAACACCAGAUGAUAUCACUUAAUGUAUCACCAAUGUAUCCUGUUAACCCUUUAAGCAGAAAUGCACCUGAAGAUGCCCUACUUUAUUAUUUUCCAUUUAAAGUAUAAAUGAUGACAAAUAAAAACUUUGUCGUUUUCUCAUGUGAAAAUUUGAUUUUUAUAAAAUAAUGAGCAUUCGAAAGUGUGUGGCCACUUACGCAGUGGAAUCCUGUUAUUAAUACAUAGUGGGCUCCAUGGUGUAGAUUGCGUUUUGACCAAAAUGUGGCCUUACAGUACAUCAAAAAGUUGUAUUACCAGAGGUGUAGGAAGUUUGAUAAACUUGUUACCAAAACCAUGGAUGCUUCCUCUUGCCCGCGAUCAUUAUUAGCCAAUAUCCGAGCAACUGCACAGUUGAUUGGACAUUUGUCAGAUUGAAGUGAAAUUGUAAUAAUAAUAAUUCACACUGCUUUUAACCAUCACAGGUAAAUUCUCUGAAGUACAUACCUUAAAAGAUCAUGAAAUG
Molecule: long non-coding RNA, 3489 nt
Filed under: Paramuricea clavata
Lineage: Eukaryota; Metazoa; Cnidaria; Anthozoa; Malacalcyonacea; Plexauridae
Source: RNAcentral